AGAGAGAGAGAGGAGGAGGUUGUGGAUGUUUUCGUCGCCAGAUCUGGAUUCAAAUCCGAUUUCUCAUCGGCUGGACAUGGAGCGUCGUUGUCUAAACCGAGCUUCGUCGUCGUCGAGGUCGAGGAGCGUUGCCGUCCAGGUCGAGGUUAGUCGUCGUCGAGGCUGAGGUUCGUCAUCGUUGAGGCCGAGGUUCGUCGCCGUCGAGGCCUAGGUUAGUCGCCGUCAAGGCCGAGGUUCAUCAUGUCGAGGCCGAGGAUCUUCGCCAACAUGGCUGAGGAUCAUCGCCGGCGUGGCUAAGGAGCAUCGCCGUUGAGGCUUUGGCAGUUGAUGCCUCAACAACAGAGAGAGAGAGAGAGAGAGAGAGAGAGAGAGAGAGAGAGAGAGAGAGAGAGAGAGAGAGAGAGAGAGAGAGAGAGAGNNNNNNNNNNNNNNNNNNNNGUUUAUAUUGUCUUCUUAUUUUUUUUUAUUUUUGUCAUUUAUUAUAAUCAGUUGAGAAUGAGAGUAACGAUUUAUUUGAGUUUUUCAACGAAAAAAUAAAACAUUUCAUUUAAAUCAAAUCAGUCGAGAAGAAGAAUGAAACAUGCUUUGUGCUGUAUUCAUGUGCUUGUUUU
Molecule: long non-coding RNA, 611 nt
Filed under: Fragaria vesca (wild strawberry)
Lineage: Eukaryota; Viridiplantae; Streptophyta; Magnoliopsida; Rosales; Rosaceae
Description: long non-coding RNA (FVES_LNC000393)
Source: RNAcentral